GUUAGACUCCUGAAUUACAUAAAUAACGAUCAUAGCGAUUCGUCGAAUAUCUUUCUACUUCGAUUCUCUAAUGUAGCCGCACUUCGGUUUCUAAGAGGUAACAAAUUCACAUUCUGUCUUUUAUUUUUGGUGUGUGUUGGUUUUUAGUUGUUGUCUGUUUCACAUUUCCUCCAUCAUCUGUUCGAUUGAAGAAUCAUCAAGUUCAAAACAUGAUUAAGAUCUGAAUUGGUCAGAUAUCAUCUGAUAAUGUUGGAUGAUUUUUCCUUUUUUCUUUUACAUUAUUGAUAAUAUUGGGUGAUUUUUUAUCCUUUCUUUUGCUUUGAAUGAAAAUCUAAAAACUAACCAUUACAUAAGGAAACAUUUUACUAAGUCACAACAACAAUCAGUUAUGUGCUACUGGAAGAUGGUUGGAGAAAUAAUUCAUGGCCACCAACAGCAACUGUAAGAAAGAGUUUUCUUUGGGAAGUAAUAAGUCUUUCCAAGGAAAUAAGCUCUUAUGGAGAAAGUUGCUCGAAAAGUGAUUUUUGCACCCCGGAGGACAACUGCUAAACGGACCCCUACUUUGGAUAAGAGGCACCUCAAUUAUUAAAGGGCACCUUCCUUACUUUUUACACCCCAUAAGGCAAGUGCUAAAGGGACACCCAUAUUGGAUUAGGGGGAGGACAUCUUCUUCCCAAUUUCAAAUUCUGCAAAUUGGCGGGAAUUUCUGCGAGCAGUGAACCAGAUUAGGGUUCGGGUUUUGGAGUUAUUCUAUGGAGAUUCAAUCGAAGAAUAUGGCUGGGAUGGACUUGGACUGACUGAACAUGGCUGGUAACUCCGUUCGAUUCAAUCAGUUUGGGCCAGAUAUCGAACUUGAAGAUAAAACAGGGAAAACGGUGUGUCACCUGCGAUAUUCCCUGUAUUGAUUUUGGGAAAUAUUUGGUUGGAUUUCUCUCUUUUUUUGGUUAUAUACCAUCCUGUUACAUCACAACAGAAUUGGUAAUUACUUUGAAUUUGAUCAGAGGGAAAGAUUUCACGGAAUCUCGUUAAACAGGGAAGUCUUUUGUUCUCGGGUUACUGUGAGUUGUAUAUGGAAUGUUUGAGGAUCAAAGAGGGAGUAUAUCUUCUUUGUUAAUGUUUUGCUCUAUCUUUGGAAGGAUUGACAGCUCAAAGACGCAUGCAUAAGGUGUGAAGCAGAUAAGGAUUGAAGAAAACAGAGGUUGAAUAUAUUUUGGAGAUUCUGUUGGAAGAUAUGUAUUGAUUUAGAGAAAAUAUCGACCUAGUAUUAUAUUCUGCAUUGUUUGGGACAAAUUUGGAGAAUCACUAAACGUAAAGAUAUGAAAGAGGAAUCAUUUUCGUAGCAUGCAGAGAAGAUUUUAUUCUUGGGUUUUCUUUGGUUUGGGAAUGGAAAGAUCGUGGUUGGAACAUGGAAGAAUAUCUUCUCACAUCAGUUUUAAUCAAUCUAAGAAGUGCAUUCAUGUGUUUGGAGUAUGUAUCCAUGAGCAGAAGCGUGAAAGAGAAAAGAAGAAAAUUCCCGAUAAAAUAAUGAAAUUUAUUUCGAAGAUAUUUUGGAGUUAUUGCAAGGAUUUUGUCGACCCGUUGAGUAUAAAUAGUGUGUUGUGGAGCAGAGAGGGAUCAUCUAGAGUUGGGGAGAAGAGUAUAGGAUUGCAGAGAAGAUUUUUCUGCUGCUGCAGAAAAGAAGAAGAAGAAGAACAAACUACACUUGUAGUCUGUCGUUUAGAACUAUCACUGUUUCUUCCAAGAACGACAGUUUUUUGCGACAGAACAAAACAAUUGUUUUCUAUCACAAUCAUUUUAACAGUCUUGUAACGGCUUUACAGUGUUGCGAAACUCAGUUUUCUUAUCUUUUCACCUCUUGUAAGCACUUUUGAGUAAUAAAAAUGAAUUUUAAGCGUGUCUACAA
This is a long non-coding RNA of Papaver somniferum (opium poppy), 1903 nucleotides long. RefSeq lists it as uncharacterized. The transcript is spliced from 2 exons. NCBI's taxonomy places the organism in Eukaryota, Viridiplantae, Streptophyta, Magnoliopsida, Ranunculales, Papaveraceae. The record is from RefSeq and is a predicted model, not a curated record.